This 196-nucleotide ribosomal RNA is filed under the name uncultured bacterium. RNAcentral's name for it is "partial 16S ribosomal RNA". It matches the Rfam family "Bacterial small subunit ribosomal RNA", at positions 328 to 539 of the family's 1533-position model. The record is from RNAcentral.
ACGCUCGACACCUACGGGAGGCAGCAGUGGGAAUAUUGCACAAUGGGGAAACCCUGAUGCAGCGACGCCGCGUGGAGGAAGAAGGUCUUCGGAUUGUAAACUCCUGUUGUUGGGGAAAAAGAGGAUGGUACCCAACAAGGAAGUGACGGCUAACUACGUGCCAGUAGCCGCGGUAAUCUGAGCGGGCUGGCAAGGC